This 2298-nucleotide long non-coding RNA is filed under the name Homo sapiens (human). RNAcentral describes it as "PREDICTED lncRNA (TCONS_00261014)". The record is from RNAcentral. Lineage: Eukaryota; Metazoa; Chordata; Mammalia; Primates; Hominidae.
UGAUGGUAAAUACCGAGUGUCGACUGGAUUGAAGGAUGCAAAGUAUUGAUCCUGGGUGUGUCUGUGAGGGUGUUGCCAAAGGAGGUUAACAUUUGAGUCAGUGGGCUGGGGAAGGCAGAUCCAACCUCAAUCUGGUGCGCCAUCUAAUAAGCUGCCAAUGAAUAUAAAGCAGGCAGAAAAACAUAAGAAGGUGAGACUGGCCUAGCCUCCCAGCCUGCAUCUUUCUCCCAUGCUGAAUGCUUCCUGUCCUCGAACAUCAGACUCCAAGUUCUUUAGUUUUGAGACUCGGACUGGCUUCCUUGCUCCUCAAGCUUGCAGACAGCCUAUUGUGGGACCUUGUGAUCAUAGAUCCUUGAUUAAUACAGAUGGGGUCCCACUAUGCUGCCCAGGCUGCUUUCAAACAGGGUCUUAACUCUGUCACCCAGGCUGGAGUGCAGUGGUGUGACCACAGCCACUGCAGGCUCAACCUCUGGGACUCAGGUGAUCCUCCCAUCUCAGCCUCCCAAGUAGCUGGGACUACAGGUUGCUUCUUCCAGAUCCCUUUUGAUCUACUUUCAGCUAUGGAUUCAUGAGAAUCAAGACUAAGCAGCCUGAAUUGAAGGAGUAACAGUAUCACCUAACAAUGAUUUUGCUGCCAUAGUAGCUGUUUGUAUACUGGCCAUAUGCCUAGGUAAAAUGAGGCCAGAUCACUCUCAAGAGUUUUCUAUCAGAGUUGGUGGUGAACUACUGCUCACGGAUAAUGGGUCUCACUCACUUUGUCAUCCAGGCUGGAGUGCAGUGGUGGGAUCUCAGCUCACUGCAACCUCCACCUCUUGGGUUUAAGCAAUUCUCCUGCCUCAGCCUCCCAAGUAACUGGGAUUACAGACGAGAAACCCCAGCUGAGGAGGCAAAUAUACUCAAGGAAAGUAAUAGUUUCCAAAUGCCUGGCAGUGCCAGGAAGGGGCCAUGUCCAUGGACCACUAUGUAAGGAUAUCUCAGUCUCUAGUCCAGCGUGGUUUAUGGUGCCAAAUAAGUGCCAGGUGAACUCACUACAUCUGACAAAAUCUCAAGGAACCAAGUUUACCAGAUAAUAUUUAUGAUUAUGUGAAAAAGACUGAGGAAAUCACUCAAGUGAUCCAUCAUACAGCACCUCCAGUUCCAAAGAAUACUGACUUACUUCAGCUGUACUGGUCUGGAGCUGCACAUUCUUUUCAGACAACUCUUGUUCCAGUAAGUUCAGGCUAGAGUGCAAUGGUGCAACCUCAGCUCACUGCAACCUCCGCUUCCCAGGUUCAAGCGAUUCUCCUGCUUCAGCCUCCCUGGUUGCUGGGAUUACAGGCUUUGUUAUCAGGAUGAUGCUGGCCUCAUAAAAUGAGUUAGGGAGGAUUCCCUCUUUUUCUAUUGAUUGGAAUAGGUUCAGAAGGAAUGGUACCAGCUCCUCCUUGUACCUCUGGUAGAAUUCGGCUGUGAAUCCGUCUGAUCCUGGACUUUUUUCGGUUGGUGACUCUUCUCCUGUAACAGAGCCUCCUUCUUAGAAACUAUGGCCUCCCGUUUCUUUAAGUCUGCUUCCAGCUCCUCUAAUUCUUGGCGUUGGUUCAGAACUUUCUCUACUUCUUCAUCUAACCAUUUCUUUUGCUCAUCCAAUUUCUACAUUAAAAUUAAAAAAAAAGUUACUUGUUUUUCCUUCUGCCAUAAAAAUUAUAUGGUAAUAAUAGAAUUUCAGAUUGGCUGAAAUCUCUUAAAUGAACAUUUAAAAACUAUCACUCAGAGUAACUCAGGUAGCCGUCUGAGAUCCUAAAGACAUCAGUGGUUCUAGUCAAGAUGUAGCUAUGUUGUUUUAUAAAGAAUUAAAAUUUACUCCCCAGAUAUGUUAAACAGUCUAGGAUUUUUUAGCCUGACGAAGAAAGGGCUGAUAAUUUUCUAUGCCUAUAUUAAGAACAUGCUGGAAUCUUUUACUCUGUUGUAGUGGUGCACAGUUCCAUCACAGCACUUACACUGGUGGCUGCCCUACGUAUCUAUCUCCCCAGCUUGAGCUCCUUGAUUGAUUGCAGGGGCUGUAGUUUUUACCCGUCUAUCCACAUGGCUGGUAUAUUGCCUGGGCCACAGUAGGCAUUCAAUAAAAUGUUAAAUGAAUGAGUGAAUGAAUGCCUGAUUCAGUCAGUCAAUGAAGUGAAUAAAUGAAUACACACAGUGGAAGACACAGAUGAUGGAGGAUGGAAGGAAAGCCAAUUUGCAUUGUAGCUUGUCAACCUCAAAUAAUUAUUUUUAAAAAAGAAAAAAAACAAAAAUAAAAAAUUGCUGAAAAGAUCUCCAAAACAA